This 323-nucleotide long non-coding RNA is filed under the name Ananas comosus (pineapple). RNAcentral describes it as "long non-coding RNA (ACOM_LNC012627)". Lineage: Eukaryota; Viridiplantae; Streptophyta; Magnoliopsida; Poales; Bromeliaceae. The record is from RNAcentral.
UAAUAUAUCAAUCAAUAAUAUAAUAAGAGGGCUUGGUGGUUGAUACUCGGGACGUGUUUGGUUCGCUUUUUUUUCACCCUGAAAUCGGAAUCGGAAUUGGUGAAUCUGUUUGUGGAUGUUUGGUACGUGAAAGUUUCAUUCCGAUUCUAAUUCCCGAGGGGAAUGGGAAUCUUCCAAUCACCCCUUUUUUCAAUCCGGCCUCCUGAAGUUAAAUCCGAACGGAAUGGAUAUUUAUUCAGAUUAAAUUUAUUUUUUUUAAUUUUUUUAAAUUAAAAUAUGAGUUUAAAAUUUAGAAAUUAAAUUUUAAUUUUUAAUUUUAAUUU